UAGGGAAUCUUCCACAAUGGGCGAGAGCCUGAUGGAGCAACGCCGCGUGUGUGAUGAAGGGUUUCGGCUCGUAAAACACUGUUGUAAGAGAAGAAUGACAUUGAGAGUAACUGUUCAAUGUGUGACGGUAUCUUACCAGAAAGGAACGGCUAAAUACGUGCCGG
Molecule: ribosomal RNA, 164 nt
Filed under: uncultured bacterium
Lineage: Bacteria
Description: partial 16S rRNA
Rfam family: Bacterial small subunit ribosomal RNA
Source: RNAcentral